Molecule: ribosomal RNA, 456 nt
Filed under: uncultured bacterium
Lineage: Bacteria
Description: bacterial SSU rRNA
Rfam family: Bacterial small subunit ribosomal RNA
Source: RNAcentral
CCGCGUGAGUGAUGAAGGCUUCGGGUCGUAAAGCUCUGUCAGAGGGGAAGAACCUCUCGUCGGUUAAUACCCGGCGAGCCUGACGGUACCCUCAAAGGAAGCACCGGCUAACUCCGUGCCAGCAGCCGCGGUAAUACGGAGGGUGCAAGCGUUGUUCGGAAUUAUUGGGCGUAAAGCGCGUGCAGGCGGCUCGUUAAGUCUGAUGUGAAAGCCCCGGGCUCAACCCGGGAAGUGCAUUGGAAACUGGCGAACUUGAGUAUGGGAGAGGGAAGUGGAAUUCCGAGUGUAGGGGUGAAAUCCGUAGAUAUUCGGAGGAACACCAGUGGCGAAAGCGGCUUCCUGGACCAAUACUGACGCUGAGACGCGAAAGCGUGGGGACAAACAGGAUUAGAUCCCUGGUAGUCCACGCCGUAAACGAUGGGCACUAGUGUCGCGGGUAUUGACCCUGCGGUGCCG